RNAcentral lists this small RNA (124 nucleotides) under Marmota monax (woodchuck). Lineage: Eukaryota; Metazoa; Chordata; Mammalia; Rodentia; Sciuridae. The record is from RNAcentral.
GCUGGGCAUGGUGGUACACACCUGUAAUCCCAGUGGCUGGGAGGCUGAGGCAGGAGAAUUGUGAUUUCAAAGCCAGCCUCAGCAAAAGCAAGGUGUUAAGCAACUCAGGGAGAUCCUGCCUCUA